This 497-nucleotide ribosomal RNA is filed under the name uncultured bacterium. Its description in RNAcentral is "partial 16S ribosomal RNA". It matches the Rfam family "Bacterial small subunit ribosomal RNA", at positions 28 to 507 of the family's 1533-position model. The record is from RNAcentral.
GAUGAACGCUGGCGGCGUGCCUAAUACAUGCAAGUCGAGCGAACAGACGAGGAGCUUGCUCCUCGCACGUUAGCGGCGCGCGUGUGAGUAACACGUGGAUCCCCUCCCUAUAAGACUGGGAUCACUUCGGGAAACCGGAGCUAAUACCGUAUAAUAUCUUGAACCGCGUGGUGCGUUGGUAAAAGACGGUUUUGGUGUCACUUAUCGCUGGAUCCGCGCCGCAUUAGCUAGUUGUUAAGGUAACGGCUUUCCAAGGCAACGAUGCGUAGCCGACCGGAGAGGGUGAUAGCCCACCUGGGAGGGGAGCCACGGUCCAGACGCCUGCGGGAGGCAGCAGUCGGGAACCUGCGGCAAUGGGGGAAAGCAUGGCGGAGCAACGCGACGUGAGUGAUGAAGGUCUUGGGUUCGGAAAACUCUGUUAUUAGGGAAGAACAAAUGUGUAAGGAACUAUGCACGGCUUGACGGUACCUAAUCAGAAAGCCACGGCUAACUACGUG